GACGAACGCUGGCGGCGUGCCUAAUACGAUGCAAGUCGAGCGGACCCUUCGGGGUCAGCGGCGACGGGUGAGUAACACGUGGGUAAUCUGCCAACUGACUGGAAUAACGCCUGAAACGGUGCUAAUGACCGGAUAGGCAACUGGUAGGCAUCUACCGGUUGGAAAGGUGCAACUGCACCGCAGAUGGAGGAGCCCGCGGCGCAUUAGCUAGUUGGUGGGGUAACGGCCUACCAAGGCGACGAUGCGUAGCCGACCUGAGAGGGUGACGGCCACACUGGGACUGAGACACGGCCCAGACUCCUACGGGAGGCAGCAGUAGGGAAUCUUCCGCAAUGGGCGCAAGCCUGACGGAGCAACGCCGCGUGAGCGAAGAAGGCCUUCGGGUUGUAAAGCUCAGUCACUCGGGAAGAGCGGACGAGGGAGUGGAAAGCCCUCGUCGAGACGGUACCGAGAGAGGAAGCCCCGGCUAACUACGUG
RNAcentral lists this ribosomal RNA (477 nucleotides) under uncultured bacterium. Its description in RNAcentral is "bacterial SSU rRNA". It matches the Rfam family "Bacterial small subunit ribosomal RNA", at positions 28 to 507 of the family's 1533-position model. The record is from RNAcentral.